GAUCUUUCGGGAUCUAGAGAGCGGCGUACGGGUGCGGAACACGUGUGCAACCUGCCUUUAUCAGGUGGAUAGCCUUUCGAAAGGAAGAUUAAUACCCCAUAAUAUUUAGAAUGGCAUCAUUUUAAAUUGAAAACUCCGGUGGAUAGAGAUGGGCACGCGCAAGAUUAGAUAGUUGGUGAGGUAACGGCUCACCAAGUCUGCGAUCUUUAGGGGGCCUGAGAGGGUGAUCCCCCACACUGGUACUGAGACACGGACCAGACUCCUACGGGAGGCAGCAGUGAGGAAUAUUGGACAAUGGGUGAGAGCCUGAUCCAGCCAUCCCGCGUGAAGGACGACGGCCCUAUGGGUUGUAAACUUCUUUUGUACAGGGAUAAACCUACCCUCGUGAGGGUAGCUGAAGGUACUGUACGAAUAAGCACCGGCUAACUCCGUGCCAGCAGCCGCGGUAAUACGGAGGGUGCAAGCGUUAUCCGGAUUUAUUGGGUUUAAAGGGUCCGUAGGCGGAUGUGUAAGUCAGUGGUGAAAUCUCACAGCUUAACUGUGAAACUGCCAUUGAUACUGCAUGUCUUGAGUGUUGUAGAAGUAGCUGGAAUAAGUAGUGUAGCGGUGAAAUGCAUAGAUAUGUC
This 626-nucleotide ribosomal RNA is filed under the name uncultured Bacteroidota bacterium. RNAcentral's name for it is "bacterial SSU rRNA". It matches the Rfam family "Bacterial small subunit ribosomal RNA", at positions 74 to 700 of the family's 1533-position model. Lineage: Bacteria; Pseudomonadati; Bacteroidota. The record is from RNAcentral.